Molecule: ribosomal RNA, 408 nt
Filed under: uncultured bacterium
Lineage: Bacteria
Description: partial 16S ribosomal RNA
Rfam family: Bacterial small subunit ribosomal RNA
Source: RNAcentral
GACGAACGCUGGCGGCGUGCUUAACACAUGCAAGUCGAACGAAGUGGCGAACGGGUGAGUAACGCGUAAUCAACUGGCCCUUCAGAGGGGGACACCAGUUGGAAACGACUGCUAAUACCGCAUACUGAAGGAGGGGUUUGCGUCUGAUUAGCUAGUUGGAGGGGUAACGGCCCAACAAGGCGAUGAACAGUAGCCUGGCUGAUAGGGUGGACGGCCACAAUGGGGCUGAGAAACGGCCCCGACUCCUACGGGGGGCAACAGUGGGGAAUCUUGCGCAAUGGACGAAAGACUGUCGGAACAACGCCCCGUGAGAGGUGACGGCCUUCAGGUUGUAAAGCUAUGUUAAUCGGGGAGCGUUACCGGAAGAGAAAGCAACGGCUAACUACGUGCCAGCAGCCGCGGUAAUUC